Molecule: ribosomal RNA, 216 nt
Filed under: uncultured bacterium
Lineage: Bacteria
Description: partial 16S ribosomal RNA
Rfam family: Bacterial small subunit ribosomal RNA
Source: RNAcentral
UGGAAACCUUCCCUAUGGUUCGGAAUAGCUAAGGGAAACUUGAGGUAAUACCGGAUAAGCCCUUCGGGGGAAAGAUUUAUCGCCAUUGGAUGGGCCCGCGUCGGAUUAGCUAGUUGGUGGGGUAACGGCCUACCAAGGCGACGACGGGUAGCUGGUCUGAGAGGACGACCAGCCACACUGGAACUGAGAUACGGUCCAGACUCCUACGGGAGGCAG